AGCCAUCUGCAGCUCACAACUAGAUGAGUGACACAAUCAGAUGUGCGUAUGCAAGUGAGGAAUUGCUGAGGAGACAAAUUAAGUAAAUCCUGUGGAAGGAAAGAAGAAAGGAGGAAAGAGGAUUGGAUGGAAGAAUCUCCACUUCUCAUAGGUGUAGUCCUUCCUUAGCCUGCUUUUUAAUGACUGCUGCUAAAGCCCUUAGCCUGCCUGUUUACCCUUGGAGUGGAGCAAUGAACUGAAGAUAUUUGAGUGAGUUCAAGAGAGACUCAGAAGAGAAGAAUUGGAGGCAGCAAACAUAGACAGCACUUUUAAUGCUUUUCUCAUAUGCUGUAAGACAUGAAAGCAAUCUAUUGGGAUGAAAGCUGAAAGGAGAAGCGGGACAAGAGAAGUGAAUCCGUGGAAGACCCCCAAAAGAGGCUGCAGAUUCUUGGUGGACAGCUCUCAUAUCCCCUCCAGGGAAAAUGAUGAAAAAUGUCUUCAGAAAAAUAGCUUUAUGAAGGCAAGAGGACUUUUUGCACCUGCAAGACAUGUCUGAAAGCUUCCAUCAGAUUCUUGUAAGUACCUCACUUGGCACAAGAUAGAACAACAUGGCGUUCAAGAAAGUCAACUGCGUUGCCCAAGAGUAAGAGAAGGACCCUCUGAAGAAGAGCAACUUUUCAGACAGGUAGAGUGUGCCUUGCUCCCAAGGAAAAGAGUUCUUGAAAAAAACAAAUGGGAAACAUGGCUACAAGAAAACUGGGAAGACUGCAAGAAUUUGAACAUUUCAUUUCAGGAUUUGGGGGAUCCUUACCAGGUUGAAAAUUUUAACAGAAUUCUUAGAAGACUAAUUCGAGUUGAAACCCCCUGGUUAGUGGAUAAUUCACUGGUGGACUUAAGUGCCAUAAGAUUGCCAAGGUAUCUGCUCUGUAGCAUGUCUAGUGAACAGGUUAAAGUUAAGUCUUUUCUAUUUGGAUACAUGUGAUCAUUGGCUGUACAUACUGCACCUGGCCCCCUGUGGUCAGGUCUUAAAGAUGACACUUUGCACUAAAGUGGCACAUACGGCAAGGCCAAAAGAGAAAUGUAU
RNAcentral lists this long non-coding RNA (1063 nucleotides) under Pan troglodytes (chimpanzee). Its description in RNAcentral is "long non-coding RNA NONPTRT011673". Lineage: Eukaryota; Metazoa; Chordata; Mammalia; Primates; Hominidae. The record is from RNAcentral.